CCCUUAGAAGUUCUGGGCCGCACGCGUGCUACACUGAGUGGAUCAGCGGGUCAGGUUGCGCGAAAGCGUUUCCUAAUCUUUAAAUCCGCUCGUGAUGGGGAUUGACGGUUGCAAUUUUCUGUCAUGAACGAGGAAUACCUUGUAAGCGCGGGUCAUCAUCCCGCGCUGAAUACGUCCCUGCCCUUUGUACACACCGCCCGUCGCUCCUACCGAUUGAGUGGUCCGGUGAGGCUUUGGGAUCUGAGCGGAAAGAGCGUUUCGCUGUUUCUGCUCGGAAAACUCAGUCGAACCUUAUCAUUUAGAGGAAGGAGAAGUCGUAACA
This 322-nucleotide ribosomal RNA is filed under the name uncultured eukaryote. RNAcentral describes it as "partial 18S ribosomal RNA". It matches the Rfam family "Eukaryotic small subunit ribosomal RNA", at positions 1470 to 1796 of the family's 1831-position model. The record is from RNAcentral.